Molecule: ribosomal RNA, 914 nt
Filed under: Ophiocordyceps brunneipunctata
Lineage: Eukaryota; Fungi; Ascomycota; Sordariomycetes; Hypocreales; Ophiocordycipitaceae
Description: LSU rRNA
Rfam family: Eukaryotic large subunit ribosomal RNA
Source: RNAcentral
UAUCAAUAAGCGGAGGAAAAGAAACCAACAGGGAUUGCCCCAGUAACGGCGAGUGAAGCGGCAGCAGCUCAGAUUUGAAAUCUGGCCCCGGCGUCCCCGCCGGGGUCCGAGUUGUAAUCUGCAGAGGAUGCUUCCGGCGCGGCGCCUUCCGAGUUCCCUGGAACGGGACGCCACAGAGGGUGAGAGCCCCGUCCGGUCGGACGCCGGCGCCGGUGUGAAGCUCCUUCGGCGAGUCGAGUAGUUUGGGAAUGCUGCUCAAAACGGGAGGUAUAUGCCUUCUAAAGCUAAAUACCGGCCGGAGACCGAUAGCGCACAAGUAGAGUGAUCGAAAGAUGAAAAGCACUUUGGAAAGAGGGUUAAACAGUACGUGAAAUUGCUGAAAGGGAAGCGCUCGCGGCCAGACUCGGGCCCGGCGGAUCAUCCGGCGUUCCUCGCCGGUGCGCUCCGCCGGCCGCCCGGGCCAGCAUCGGCUCGCGGCGGGGGACAAAGGCGGCGGGAACGUGGCCCCCCCGGGGGUGUUAUAGCCCGCCGCGCAAUGCCCCGCCCGCGGGCCGAGGACCGCGCCCCCCUCGCGGGGGCAAGGAUGCUGGCGUAAUGGCCGCCAGCGACCCGUCUUGAAACACGGACCAAGGAGUCGUCUUCGUACGCGAGUGUUGGGGCGCCAAACCCCUACGCGCAAUGAAAGUGAACGCUGGUGGGACCCUCCCGUCCGCGGGCGGCGCACCACCGACCGAUCCUGAUGUUCUCGGAUGGAUUUGAGUAGGAGCGUACGGGGCCGGACCCGAAAGAAGGUGAACUAUGCCUGCGUAGGGUGAAGCCAGAGGAAACUCUGGUGGAGGCUCGCAGCGGUUCUGACGUGCAAAUCGAUCGUCAAACGUGGGCAUGGGGGCGAAAGACUAAUCGAACCUUCUAGA